GGGUUCCUACGGGGGGCAGCAGUGGGGAAUAUUGCACAAUGGGGGAAACCCUGAUGCAGCAACGCCGCGUGAGUGAAGAAGUAUUUCGGUAUGUAAAGCUCUAUCAGCAGGGAAGAAGAUGACGGUACCUGAUUAAGAAGCCCCGGCUAACUACGUGCCAGCAGCCGCGGUAAUACGUAGGGGGCAAGCGUUAUCCGGAUUUACUGGGUGUAAAGGGAGCGUAGACGGCGUCGCAAGUCUGAAGUGAAAGCCCGUGGCUCAACCGCGGAACCGCUUUGGAAACUGUAGAGCUUGAGUGCGGGAGG
RNAcentral lists this ribosomal RNA (305 nucleotides) under uncultured bacterium. RNAcentral describes it as "bacterial SSU rRNA". It matches the Rfam family "Bacterial small subunit ribosomal RNA", at positions 333 to 655 of the family's 1533-position model. The record is from RNAcentral.